RNAcentral lists this transfer RNA (71 nucleotides) under Uta stansburiana. RNAcentral's name for it is "tRNA-Ile". The record is from RNAcentral. Lineage: Eukaryota; Metazoa; Chordata; Lepidosauria; Squamata; Phrynosomatidae.
GGAAAUGUGCCCGAAAAUUAAGGGUUACUUUGAUAGAGUAAACCACAGAGGUUGAAACCCUCUCAUUUCCU